RNAcentral lists this long non-coding RNA (290 nucleotides) under Homo sapiens (human). Its description in RNAcentral is "HSALNT0226019". Lineage: Eukaryota; Metazoa; Chordata; Mammalia; Primates; Hominidae. The record is from RNAcentral.
AACAAGCGGGGUCCAGUGGAGAAAGGUGAGGCAUGGGAAGGCCUGGCCCGAGCACUGUGACUUCAGCGAGGCACCCUCCACCCCUCUCAGCUUAGGGGCUGACCUCCCAGGUGAUUCCCAGAGCCAGACCACAAUUCCAGAAUUCAGUGAAAACAGCGCCAAAUCCUAUUCCCUCCCGAUCCCACCCUGAUCCCUGCCUCUGGUAAACCGGUAAGUCUUGUUUUCCCCACCACCACCUCCCACUCACCACCUUCCUAAAGCGAUCUGUGCCAUCAGCCCCUACUGUGAGU